AUUUCCUCCUGCCUAGGAGGCUGGUGGAGGUGGGACCGAGUCCAGGGAGUAUGCAGCACGCGAGGACCCAGCACAGGGAGGCACAGAGGAGACGCCUGGCACAUACCCCACCGGGGAGAAACCUUGGCGUGGCAAAGUCAUCAAUUCAGUAUUUUCCAGGCUAGCUUUGCCUGGGCUCUGGAGUGCCCUCUCAAAAUAACUUCCAAUUUAAGGAGAUAUAGGACAAGGCAAGAAGGGUGGAAGAAGGCAUAAGAGAUCCUCACGUGGCAUUAUCAGGAU
RNAcentral lists this long non-coding RNA (279 nucleotides) under Homo sapiens (human). Its description in RNAcentral is "HSALNT0090381". Lineage: Eukaryota; Metazoa; Chordata; Mammalia; Primates; Hominidae. The record is from RNAcentral.